RNAcentral lists this ribosomal RNA (513 nucleotides) under uncultured bacterium. Its description in RNAcentral is "partial 16S ribosomal RNA". It matches the Rfam family "Bacterial small subunit ribosomal RNA", at positions 28 to 523 of the family's 1533-position model. The record is from RNAcentral.
GAUGAACGCUGGCGGCGUGCCUAAUACAUGCAAGUCGAGCGAACGGAUAAGGAGCUUGCUCCUUUGAAGUUAGCGGCGGACGGGUGAGUAACACGUGGGUAACCUACCUAUAAGACUGGAAUAACUUCGGGAAACCGGAGCUAAUGCCGGAUAACAUUUGGAACUGCAUGGUUCUAAAGUAAAAGAUGGUUUUGCUAUCACUUAUAGAUGGACCCGCGCCGUAUUAGCUAGUUGGUAAGGUAACGGCUUACCAAGGAAACGAUACGUAGCCGACCUGAGAGGGUGAUCGGCCACACGGGAACUGAGACACGAUCCAACAUCCUACGGGAGGCAGCAGUAGGGAAUCUUCCGAAAUGGACGAAAGUCUGACGGAGCAACGCCGCGUGAGUGAUGAAGGUUUUCGGAUCGUAAAACUCUGUUAUUAGGGAAGAACAAAUGUGUAAGUACCUGUGCACAUCUUGACGGUACCUAAUCAGAAAGCCACGGCUAACUACGUGCCAGCCGCCGCAGUAA